RNAcentral lists this small nuclear RNA (108 nucleotides) under Erinaceus europaeus (western European hedgehog). Lineage: Eukaryota; Metazoa; Chordata; Mammalia; Eulipotyphla; Erinaceidae. The record is from RNAcentral.
AUGCUCACUUCGGCAGCAUAUAUACUUAAAAUUGGAACGAUACAUAGAAGAUUAGCAUGGCCCCUGUGCAAUGAUGACACGCAAAUUCAUGAAGCCUUCCAUGUUUAA